RNAcentral lists this ribosomal RNA (506 nucleotides) under uncultured bacterium. RNAcentral describes it as "bacterial SSU rRNA". It matches the Rfam family "Bacterial small subunit ribosomal RNA", at positions 19 to 518 of the family's 1533-position model. The record is from RNAcentral.
CUGGCUCAGGAUGAACGCUAGCUACAGGCUUAACACAUGCAAGUCGAGGGGCAGCAUUGGAGUAGCAAUACUUCAGAUGGCGACCGGCGCACGGGCGAGUAACACGUAUCCAACCUGCGCUUACUCGGGGAUAGCCUUUCGAAAGAAAGAUUAAUACCCGAUGGUAUAAAGAGUUCGCAUGUUCUCUUUAUUAGAGAAUUUCGGUAAGCGAUGGGGAUGCGUUCCAUUAGAUUGUUGGCGGGUAACGGCCCACCAAGUCUACGAUGGAUAGGGGUUCUGAGAGGAAGGUCCCCCACAUUGGAACUGAGACACGGUCCAAACUCCUACGGGAGGCAGCAGUGAGGAAUAUUGGUCAAUGGACGAGAGUCUGAACCAGCCAAAGUAGCGUGAAGGAUGACUGCCCUAUGGGUUGUAAACUUCUUUUAUAAGGGAAUAAAGUGAGGGACGUGUCCCUUUUUGUAUGUACCUUAUGAAUAAGGAUCGGCUAACUCCGUGCCAGCCGCCGC